RNAcentral lists this ribosomal RNA (834 nucleotides) under Faecalitalea cylindroides. RNAcentral describes it as "bacterial LSU rRNA". It matches the Rfam family "Bacterial large subunit ribosomal RNA", at positions 399 to 1245 of the family's 2925-position model. The record is from RNAcentral. Lineage: Bacteria; Bacillati; Bacillota; Erysipelotrichia; Erysipelotrichales; Erysipelotrichaceae.
AGCGGGAUCCUGAGUACGGCGAGACACGAGGAAUCUUGUCGGAAGCAGGCGGGACCAUCCGCCAAGGCUAAAUAUAAACGAGUGAGCGAUAGUGAACCAGUACCGUGAGGGAAAGGUGAAAAGAACCGCGGGAGCGGAGUGAAAGAGAACCUGAAACCGUAUGCCUACAAGAAGUCAGAGCCCGUUAAAGGGUGAUGGCGUGCCUUUUGUAGAAUGAACCGGCGAGUUACGGAAAGAUGCGAGGUUAAGUCGGAAAGGACGGAGCCGCAGCGAAAGCGAGUCUGAAGAGGGCGAGAGUAGACUUCCGUAGACCCGAAACCGGGUGAUCUAGCCAUGAGCAGGUUGAAGUUGAGGUGAAACUCAAUGGAGGACCGAACCGACCACCGUUGAAAAGUUGGCGGAUGACUUGUGGCUAGCGGAGAAAUUCCAAUCGAACCCGGAGAUAGCUGGUUCUCCCCGAAAUAGCUUUAGGGCUAGCGUCGGAAUGAACCCAUGUGAAGGUAGAGCACUGAAUGUGUGAUGGCCCCAUCCCGGGGUACUGAAUACAAUCAAACUCCGAAUGUCAUGUGGGAUGUCCGGCAGUCAGACUGUGAGUGAUAAGGUCCAUGGUCGAGAGGGAAACAGCCCAGACCGCCAGUUAAGGUCCCAAAAUGCAGGCUAAGUGGAAAAGGAUGUGGGGAUGCCCAGACAACUAGGAGGUUGGCUCAGAAGCAGCCACCCUUUAAAGAGUGCGUAACAGCUCACUAGUCGAGUGACCCUGCGCCGAAAAUGUACCGGGGCUAAGCCUGAUACCGAAACUGCGGAAUCGAAUGAUUGGUAGGGGAGCGUUGUAUA